This 537-nucleotide long non-coding RNA is filed under the name Homo sapiens (human). Its description in RNAcentral is "non-protein coding lnc-THAP12-2:1". Lineage: Eukaryota; Metazoa; Chordata; Mammalia; Primates; Hominidae. The record is from RNAcentral.
GCACCAGGCCUCAGAUGGGUUCACCAGACCCAGCAGCAUGUUAAAGGCCACCCCACCCCAAACCUAUGCAGCAAAGACACUUGAACAUCACUUAACCCUGCAUGUACCAAACUUAUUUCACCAAAAAUCCUUUUGUGUCAUGGAACGUCUUUAUUUGAGGGAGUGGGGAAUUGACAAUACAAAAAUUAGCCAGAUGUAGUGGCGGGCACCUGUAAUCCCAGCAACUCAGAGGCAUGGCUGGGUGCGGUGGCUCACACCUGUAAUCUCAGCACUUUGGGAGGCUGAGGUGGGUGGAUCACAAGGCCAGGAGAUCGAGACCAUCCUGGCUAACACGGUGAAACCCCGUCUCUGCUAAAAAUACAAAAAAUUAGCGGGGCAUGGUGGCGGGAGCCUGUAGUCCCAGCUACUUGGGAGGCUGAGGCAGGAGAAUGGUGUGAACCCAGGAGGCGGAGCUUGCAGUGAGCCGAGAUCGCAACACUGCACUCCAGCCUGGGCGACAGACUCUGUCUCAAAAAAAAAAAAAAAAAAAAAUUAGCC